This 423-nucleotide ribosomal RNA is filed under the name uncultured bacterium. Its description in RNAcentral is "partial 16S ribosomal RNA". It matches the Rfam family "Bacterial small subunit ribosomal RNA", at positions 361 to 776 of the family's 1533-position model. The record is from RNAcentral.
AUAUUGGACAAUGGGCGAAAGCUUGAUCAAGCCAUGCCUCGUGUGUGAAGAAGUUCUUCGGAUUGUAAAGCACUUUAAGUUGGGAGGAAAGGCAGUAAGGUAAUACCUUGCUGUUUUGAAGUUACCGACAGAUUAAGUACCGGCUAACUUCAUGCCAGUAGCCGCGGGAAUACGAAGGGUGCAAGCGUUAAUCGGAAUUACUGGGCGUAAAGCGCGCGUAAGGAGUUUGUUAAGUUGGAAGUGAAAGCCCCGGGCUCAACCUGGGAAUUGCAUCCAAAACUGUCUGACUAGAGUAUGGCAGAGGGUGGUAGAAUUUCCUGUAUAGCGGUGAAAUGCGUAGAUAUAGGAAGGAACACCAGUGGCGAAGGCGACCACCUGGGCUAAUACUGACACUGAGGUGCGAAAGCGUGGGGAGCAAACAGG